GACGAACGCUGGCGGCGUGCUUAACACAUGCAAGUCGAACGGAAAGGCCCUGCUUUUGUGGGGUGCUCGAGUGGCGAAAGGGUGAGUAACACGUGAGUAACCUGCCCUUGACUUUGGGAUAACUUCAGGAAACUGGGGCUAAUACCGGAUAGGAGCUCCUGCUGCAUGGUGGGGGUUGGAAAGUUUCGGCGGUUGGGGAUGGACUCGCGGCUUAUCAGCUUGUUGGUGGGGUAGUGGCUUACCAAGGCUUUGACGGGUAGCCGGCCUGAGAGGGUGACCGGCCACAUUGGGACUGUGAUACGGCCCAGACUCCUACGGGAGGCAGCAGUGGGGAAUAUUGCACAAUGGGCGGAAGCCUGAUGUAGCAACGCCGCGUGCGGGAUGACGGCUUUCGGGUGGUAAACCGCUUUCGCCUGUGACGAAGCGUGAGUGACGGUAAUGGGUAAAGAAGCACCGGCUAACUACGU
Molecule: ribosomal RNA, 467 nt
Filed under: uncultured bacterium
Lineage: Bacteria
Description: partial 16S ribosomal RNA
Rfam family: Bacterial small subunit ribosomal RNA
Source: RNAcentral